GAUGAACGCUGGCGGCGUGCCUAAUACAUGCAAGUCGAGCGAACUGAUUAGAAGCUUGCUUCUAUGACGUUAGCGGCGGACGGGUGAGUAACACGUGGGCAACCUGCCUGUAAGACUGGGAUAACUUCGGGAAACCGAAGCUAAUACCGGAUAGGAUCUUCUCCUUCAUGGGAGAUGAUUGAAAGAUGGUUUCGGCUAUCACUUACAGAUGGGCCCGCGGUGCAUUAGCUAGUUGGUGAGGUAACGGCUCACCAAGGCAACGAUGCAUAGCCGACCGGAGAGGGUGAUCGGCCACACUGGGACUGAGACACGGCCCAGACUCCUACGGGAGGCAGCAGUAGGGAAUCUUCCGCAAUGGACGAAAGUCUGACGGAGCAACGCCGCGUGAGUGAUGAAGGCUUUCGGGUCGUAAAACUCUGUUGUUAGGGAAGAAUAAGUACAAGAGUAACUGCUUGUACCUUGACGGUACCUAACCAGAAAGCCACGGCUAACUACGUGCCAGCCGCCGCGGUAA
RNAcentral lists this ribosomal RNA (514 nucleotides) under uncultured bacterium. Its description in RNAcentral is "partial 16S ribosomal RNA". It matches the Rfam family "Bacterial small subunit ribosomal RNA", at positions 28 to 523 of the family's 1533-position model. The record is from RNAcentral.